RNAcentral lists this ribosomal RNA (496 nucleotides) under uncultured bacterium. RNAcentral describes it as "partial 16S ribosomal RNA". It matches the Rfam family "Bacterial small subunit ribosomal RNA", at positions 29 to 507 of the family's 1533-position model. The record is from RNAcentral.
AUGAACGCUGGCGGCGUGCCUAAUACAUGCAAGUCGAGCGAACAGACGAGGAGCUUGCUCCUCUGACGUUAGCGGCGGACGGGUGAGUAACACGUGGAUAACCUACCUAUAAGACUGGGAUAACUUCGGGAAACCGGAGCUAAUACCGGAUAAUAUAUUGAACCGCAUGGUUCAAUAGUGAAAGACGGUUUUGCUGUCACUUAUAGAUGGAUCCGCGCCGCAUUAGCUAGUUGGUAAGGUAACGGCUUACCAAGGCAACGAUGCGUAGCCGACCUGAGAGGGUGAUCGGCCACACUGGAACUGAGACACGGUCCAGACUCCUACGGGACGCAGCAGUAGGGAAUCUUCCGCAAUGGGCGAAAGCUUGACGGAGCAACGCCGCGUGAGUGAUGAAGGUCUUCGGAUCGUAAAACUCUGUUAUUAGGGAAGAACAAAUGUGUAAGUAACUAUGCACGUCUUGACGGUACCUAAUCAGAAAGCCACGGCUAACUACGUG